UACGUAGGGUGCAAGCAUUAAUCGGAAUUAUUGGGCGUAAAGGGCGCGUAGGCGGCUUAGCAAGUCAGAUGUGAAAUUUCGGGGCUCAACCUCGGAGCUGCAUUUGAAACUGCUAGACUAGAGGGUUGGCGGAGAAAACGGAAUUCCACGUGUAGCGGUGAAAUGCGUAGAUAUGUGGAAGAACACCAGUGGCGAAAGCGGUUUUCUAGCUUAUACCUGACGCUGAGGCGCGAGAGCAAGGGGAGCAAACAGG
This 253-nucleotide ribosomal RNA is filed under the name uncultured bacterium. RNAcentral describes it as "partial 16S ribosomal RNA". It matches the Rfam family "Bacterial small subunit ribosomal RNA", at positions 524 to 776 of the family's 1533-position model. The record is from RNAcentral.